CGUGUAGGCGGUCAGGUAAGUGGAAUGUGAAAUGCCCCGGCUCACCCGGGGACCGGCAUCCCAAACUGCCUGGCUUGAGUAUGGGAGAGGAUGGAGGAAUUCCUGGUGUAGCGGUGAAAUGCGUAGAUAUCAGGAGGAACACCGGUGGCGAAGGCGUCCAUCUGGCCCAAUACUGACGCUGAGGCGCGAAAGCUAGGGGGGCAAACG
RNAcentral lists this ribosomal RNA (207 nucleotides) under uncultured Latescibacterota bacterium. RNAcentral's name for it is "uncultured Latescibacteria bacterium partial 16S ribosomal RNA". It matches the Rfam family "Bacterial small subunit ribosomal RNA", at positions 568 to 774 of the family's 1533-position model. Lineage: Bacteria; Pseudomonadati; Candidatus Latescibacterota. The record is from RNAcentral.